Molecule: long non-coding RNA, 1139 nt
Filed under: Mus musculus (house mouse)
Lineage: Eukaryota; Metazoa; Chordata; Mammalia; Rodentia; Muridae
Description: colorectal neoplasia differentially expressed, non- protein coding
Source: RNAcentral
ACGAGGGAGCGUCCGCGGCCCGCGCAGAGCCGCGCACCAAGCCGAUGGCGGUGGACGCAGCAGGGCCCCGCGGUCUGAGUGCGGGCAGGCGCGCGUGGGCGUGUCUCCCUGGCCCACGCGUGUCCCCGGCAUCAGUGUCUCGGCUCUGGUCCAGGACGAAGACUUCUGAAAGCGAGCCAAGGAGAAUCACAGUUCUUAACGGAGCCCCUGACUGCCCGGUGGAAGGAGGUGAUUUAGAAGACAGUGAGUUGAUCUGGGGCAAAGUGAAGCAUCAGUAGCGCCUUCCAUCCCUUCACCUCACCUGGAUCUCUUCACUUCACUCCACGUCUGUCGUCUCCCAUGCAUGAAGCAACAUGGCCAAGUGAAGCUGCAACCAGUAAAGUGUAAGGUAUCAAGUAGUGACAAUGAUGGUGUCAAAUAAUUGCUAUUUUUAGACUCAGCUACUGUUCCCAUCGAGAUGCAAAGGACACAGAGCUCACGGGUGCUCCAGCAAUGCUGGUGUCAUGUUUGGAGGUAGCUGUCUAUGGACUACAGUAUUCUCCCAGUGCUAGUCUGCAGUCACUGCAAAGCCUCCCAAUAGAACAUUUCUUCCUGAGCCAACCUAUCAGUGCAGCUCUGGAAGCAAAUGACCUCUCCUGGCAGAGCCUUCACUGUGUGGGGAACAUCAGAUUUGUGUAAAGAAGAUCACCUGUCUCUUCUCAGGUGUGCACUGUAGAGAAGCUGCUGCGAAGGCCACAGGUCACUCAGGAAAAUUUGGGGCAGUUUUCUAGGUUCAAGGGAGACUGGACAUCAAAGCUGCACUGGGACAUAUGGACGCCUUGAUCCACUUUGGCCAUUCCACCUCAGCUCAGAAUUACUCACUGGUGUCAGAGUGAUUAAUUUCACUUUCAGUGCCUUCCUUCCCGAGUGGAGUGCUUCUGUAGAGACUCCUAAUUCAGUGAAACCUGUCCAGGGGAUCAUCCCUGCUAGACAGACAGCUGCGAGAGGCCAGUGGCUUCCCAGCAUGGAUUUCAGAUUAUGGCCAAUCAAGAGCUGGGGCUGUGGAACACCUGUUGGCAGCGACACUGGCUAAGGACGGAUGAGGAGAUGAGCUCUUUAAUCGAAUUUCAUUGUACUUCAGAAAAAAGGUUUAUUUUCAA